Molecule: transfer RNA, 71 nt
Filed under: Chroococcopsis gigantea SAG 12.99
Lineage: Bacteria; Bacillati; Cyanobacteriota; Cyanophyceae; Pleurocapsales; Pleurocapsaceae
Also listed under: 1 other name
Description: tRNA-Gly
Rfam family: tRNA
About the family: Transfer RNA (tRNA) molecules are approximately 80 nucleotides in length. Their secondary structure includes four short double-helical elements and three loops (D, anti-codon, and T loops).
Source: RNAcentral
GCGGGUGUAGUUUAGUGGUAAAACCCUAGCCUUCCAAGCUAAUGAUAGGAGUUCGAUUCUCCUCACCCGCU